Molecule: long non-coding RNA, 522 nt
Organism: Myodes glareolus (Bank vole)
Lineage: Eukaryota; Metazoa; Chordata; Mammalia; Rodentia; Cricetidae
Source: RefSeq, a predicted model, not a curated record
GGCAGUAUUUAGGAGGUCUGCAGACUCCUUCCCUGACUGCGUCACAGGCUGUCAGGCAGAUGUGCUCAGUCCUCCAGGCAAGGGGCCACUCCCACCGCAGCAGGGAAAGGCCUACUCUGCUGGAGGCCUUGCUUUGUGCAUCUCUCUGAACCCCACUUCCAGGUGGCUGCUGUGUUAGCCUCUGUACUGUUUCCAGGAGUGAGAUGCCGUGGAAAACAUGGAGCUCUUUCCAGUCUACCCAAGUUGAUUCUGGUUUGGGAAGUAUCCAGCCUGAAAUGAUGACACUGAAAGAAUCUCCUCUUCCUGAAGCCAACAGCUUCUCCCCAGAAGAACUGCCGCCUCGGCAGACUCUGCGCUAAAGCUGAGUCUUGAGCAAGGAAGUCUUUCUAAAAGAGUCGGCUGUUACUCCUCAGUUUUGCUGCAUACAAACUCUUACAACAGAUAAGAUCAGAAUCUUCUGAACUUGUUUUUGUUGUUGUUGCUGUUGUUUGUUUUUUAAAUUAUUUAAUUAUUUAUUUUUAA